UGACAGGGAGGAGGAGCAGCGGCGGCGGCUGCAUACAACCAUAAAAGGGCCCGCCCGCCUCGAAACCAAGGAUGCUGCAAUACAGCUAAUAUAUGGCCCUGUUACACUCCACCGGUGGGGACUCCAACUCCCGCAAGCCCCAGCUCCCUCGGGCAAUUGUUAGGAAAUCUGGGAAUGAAAUUCCCAAACUCCUGGAGUUGAAAUCCAAAAACACUAUUAUCAUUGUAUAUUAUAUAUUACAUCUAAUAUUGCUGAUGGUGUUGCAGUCUUAUGGUUCAGACCCCGGGAGCGGCCGCUGUUAGCUCCAGCUCUUGCCAACCUAGCAGUUUGAAAACAUGCAAAUGUGAGUAGAUCAAUAGAUACCGCUCCGGCGGGAAGGUAACGGCGCUCCAUGCAGUCAUGCCGGCCACAUGACCUUGGAGGUGUCUACGGACAACGCCGGCUCUUCGGCUUAGAAAUGGAGAUGAGCACCAACCCCCAGAGUCAGACAUGACUGGACUUAACGUCAGCGUAAACCUUUACCUUUUUACCUUUAAUAUAAUACUAAUAAAUUAAAUAUAAUACUACUGACAAUAUGUAAUAAUAUAAAAUGAUACACUGUUUUAUUAUUGUAUAUUUGUAUAUUUUAAGUUGUAAUGUUUUUGAUUUUUGAGCCUCUUUGAGUCUCCGUAUGGAGAGAUAACACGGGAUAUAAAUAAAUAAAUUAUACUA
This is a long non-coding RNA of Anolis carolinensis (green anole), 711 nucleotides long. RefSeq lists it as uncharacterized. NCBI's taxonomy places the organism in Eukaryota, Metazoa, Chordata, Lepidosauria, Squamata, Anolidae. The transcript is spliced from 2 exons. The record is from RefSeq and is a predicted model, not a curated record.